RNAcentral lists this ribosomal RNA (490 nucleotides) under uncultured bacterium. RNAcentral describes it as "partial 16S ribosomal RNA". It matches the Rfam family "Bacterial small subunit ribosomal RNA", at positions 30 to 507 of the family's 1533-position model. The record is from RNAcentral.
AUUGAACGCUGGCGGCAGGCCUAACACAUGCAAGUCGAACGGUAACAGGAAGAAGCUUGCUUCUUUGCUGACGAGUGGCGGACGGGUGAGUAAUGUCUGGGAAACUGCCUGAUGGAGGGGGAUAACUACUGGAAACGGUAGCUAAUACCGCAUAACGUCGCAAGCCCAAAGAGGGGGACCUUCGGGCCUCUUGCCAUCGGAUGUGCCCAGAUGGGAUUAGCUAGUAGGUGGGGUAACGGCUCACCUAGGCGACGAUCCCUAGCUGGUCUGAGAGGAUGACCAGCCACACUGGAACUGAGACACGGUCCAGACUCCUACGGGAGGCAGCAGUGGGGAAUAUUGCACAAUGGGCGCAAGCCUGAUGCAGCCAUGCCGCGUGUAUGAAGAAGGCCUUCGGGUUGUAAAGUACUUUCAGCGGGGAGGAAGUGAGUAAAGUUAAUACCUUUGCUCAUUGACGUUACCCGCAGAAGAAGCACCGGCUAACUCCGUG